GCCCUUUUAAUGAAGAUUGCAGUCUUUCAGUUUGAGAACAUGAUUUAUUAAUUUCACUCUUUCUCUAAGAUCCAGCACAUCCUCCUCAUUCAGAUCUUCCUC
This is a long non-coding RNA of Thalassophryne amazonica, 102 nucleotides long. RefSeq lists it as uncharacterized. NCBI's taxonomy places the organism in Eukaryota, Metazoa, Chordata, Actinopteri, Batrachoidiformes, Batrachoididae. The transcript has 3 exons. The record is from RefSeq and is a predicted model, not a curated record.